GUCCACAAGAGUGAUAUUGCCUUGUAUUACAACUGCCACUGUGACCUUGACCUUUGAACUUUAAAGUCAAUAGCGCUUAAAACAUUAUUAACGAGUAGCACCAUACCAAGUUUUGAGCAUUUUGGUUCUAGAGUGUCCAUAACAAUUUUAUCUACACGCAACUUACAUGUAGUAGGCGAGGGGAUAAUAAACUAAGUUUUAUAAAAAUUAGACAAAAAGAUCGAUUUCCCGCCAUGCAUGGCAGACUUGUACAGAAACGAUAUGUUGUCGAAAUUCUGUUUUACCCUUCAAGCCCACGAUCUUCCGUCUUAUCACUACAAACCAUUAAAGUCUGAAAUGGCCUAUAUCUGUACUCGACUGUACUGAUUUUUACUCGACCAGUCUGAAUUGGUCUGACUUUUACUUGACAUUACUCGACCCCAGUCUGAACCAUACUUGACUGUACUGAAUCGUACUUGACCCUUAUUUUUUCUGUUGAAAAUAGUCUGAACUAUUACUCGACCAGUCUGAAACAGUCUUAACCCAUUCUUGACAUGUACUCGACCUAUUUUUCCAGUCUAAACCAUACUUAACCAAAGGUCUGAACAAUACUCGACCAGUCUGAACCAUACUAGACCAAAAACCCUCUACUUUUUUUAACUGUUUAAAUAAAUUUAACUGACAUAUAUAACAACAGCC
Molecule: long non-coding RNA, 678 nt
Filed under: Mytilus galloprovincialis (Mediterranean mussel)
Lineage: Eukaryota; Metazoa; Mollusca; Bivalvia; Mytilida; Mytilidae
Source: RNAcentral